RNAcentral lists this ribosomal RNA (279 nucleotides) under uncultured bacterium. RNAcentral describes it as "partial 16S ribosomal RNA". It matches the Rfam family "Bacterial small subunit ribosomal RNA", at positions 333 to 608 of the family's 1533-position model. The record is from RNAcentral.
CGGUACCUACGGGGGGCAGCAGUGAGGAAUAUUGGUCAAUGGGCGCGAGCCUGAACCAGCCAAGUCGCGUGAGGGAUGACGGUCCUACGGAUUGUAAACCUCUUUUGCCGGGGAGCAAGCGUGCGUUCGUGAACGCGCGUCGAGAGUACCCGGAGAAAAAGCAUCGGCUAACUCCGUGCCAGCAGCCGCGGUAAUACGGAGGAUGCGAGCGUUAUCCGGAUUUAUUGGGUUUAAAGGGUGCGUAGGCGGAAUAUCAAGUCAGCGGUAAAAAUUCGGGGC